Molecule: long non-coding RNA, 2244 nt
Organism: Labrus mixtus (cuckoo wrasse)
Lineage: Eukaryota; Metazoa; Chordata; Actinopteri; Labriformes; Labridae
Exons: 2
Source: RefSeq, a predicted model, not a curated record
AACGUUUCACUGUGUUUUGGUUGACUGGAUAUUCAGACGUGCAUACACCAGCAAGAGAACACGGCUGACACAAAGCAGCAGAGCGCAGCAGAGGCGGCAGUGCAUCCUGGGACAUGUAGCAAGUGCUUGCAUGGCUCCAUGAUCCAGAUGAAUUUUUUUUUUUACGUAUAGUUGUACUGCAAAAGGAAACAUACAUUUGAAGCUUUGACAUAUCGUAAAAAAUGUGCAUGUUAGUCCAUGCUUCCAUAUUUGGUCUAAUGGAAGUAGUGUCAAGCCUAUAAGCAUGAUUUGUGCUCUCUGUUGAAGUUAUAAUUGCUGCCCAGUACUUUCCUUCCCUCCACUUCCUUCUGCUCCUCCGGGGCCGAUUCAUAGCGACAGCAUGCUAAGCAGGUUAGCCGGUUAGGCUUCUCCCAAGGAACCUUUUCCAUUUCCUCCUGGGGGAUCCUGAGGUGUUCCCAGGUCAGGUGUUAUGAGCCCUUUUCAGAUAACCGUUUCAAGGGGCGAUAUUUCGUCCCUGUAACGUUCUGCUGUCAAUCUUAAUUUCUUAGUGGUGUAAUGGGGGGAGGACAAAGUCAUCCUCCCCUCCAUUUAGUCUUCGGAGGUAGUACAGGGGUGAGAUGAGAUCAGUGGAGCCAGCGGGGCGGCACAACGCUGUGUGUGUCUGACUGUGUGUGUGUGUAAAUUCGACUAAGUAUGAUUUCAGUCAGACUAACGUGUUUACAUGUAUUUUAAAAGUCUCAGUUUCAGUCGGACAAACACAAUACUUCAGCUUUUGCCAACAUCAUGUAAACGUGCUGACUGUGAAGGAGUAGCGGCUCUAGUCUGACCUCCCUCAGGACGUCUGAGCUCCUCACCCAAUCUCUAAUGGUGCUUUCACAAACACAAAGAAAAUCAGUCCAUCAAUCAUUAUUUGUAUAGCGCCGAUUGUGUUAUCUCAAGACGCUUUACAAAAAGAGCAUAUUGGAUAAGAUGCAGGAAGGAUUUCUUCUUUGUAUUCCUCCUCUGUUGUUACUGUUGCCACCGAGCUGGAGGUCGGAGCGGGCGGUCGAAAUCAAGAGAUCUUCCUGCAGUUUUUGGGAUAAGAUGCAUGUGUGAACGCAAACAGCCACAUUUUGAAGUCUGACUUUUCUUGGAAUUAUUCCUGCCAACCCCACUACCCUGGGAGGGGGUGAUAACGAUAAUAUCCUGUAACCGGCGCAUGACCAUAUGCACGUAUUGAAACUGCUUCAUUAGUUUUCUUUUCACCAGUUUGUUCUUCUCCGCUCUUUUGUCGAUGCAGUGAUGAUGUUGAACUACAUGUGACACUGAUAUACUUUGAUUUAAAGGCAAAAACUGGCGUUAUAGCGUCAGACUCAUGUUGCAUGGUUAAGCGACUGAGACUGUUCCCGUCGAUAGGGAAAGUCUCCCGCUGCAAGGUGCAUGUGUGAACAAUAUAAAAAUCAAGCUACUCAGGAGGAUUUCAGGGGCAGCCUUGUCUGAAAAUUUUCAUGAAAUGUUCAGGAAGGCAUACAGCAUGUGAGAAAACAGAUUUAGUCCUAUAGCCCGGCCAAACAGUGAAGGAAACUCCUUUUGUCCAUUUGUAUUCACAGUCUCAUUUCAUCAGUUACUCCAUACUUGAACAAUAAGCAAAUAUUCCAGCGUGUGCAUGUGCUGACUCAUGCCGAGUCUUCAGGUAAAGAGUUACUAAUUUGACUUUCUUUUAAUGACGUGUCGUGUUCCCAGGUCUCAGCUAUAAACUCGGUGAUUCCAGUUUAAUUGGAAUCCAAAGAAUGAAGGCCAAACCUGUGAAAAUAAAAAACCGGAGACUCUCUGUUUGUUUUUCCUCCUUGCUCGCUGUGAAAGCAGGACGCCUCCUGUUGAUCGUCUCCUCUCAGAUUGCUCUCAGUAUUUAUGAGGAGGGUCUCUCCGCCCCCGCCCCCGCACACACACACACACACACACACACACACACACCUCUCUGCGAUCAAACAGAUUGUGCAGAUUCAGUGAGCUGAUCAGUGCUUCUGCAUGGGUAAGAAUCUGAAUCAGCCCCCUCCCUCUGCAGAGGCGACCCCCCCCCCCCCCUGUGUGAAACUACAGUCCUACUCUGGUUUUCUCCGUCUGUGCUGUCUGUUCUGUGUGACACUGUGUGUUUAAAUGUAUACCAAGCAAUAGAGAGGUCUGACAGGACAAUCAUGGCUGUGCAGACCAACAAAUGAAACAACAUUUCAAAGCCUGUGUUGCAAAUAUAAGGCAAGAAAAGCA